RNAcentral lists this unclassified non-coding RNA (438 nucleotides) under fungal sp. RNAcentral's name for it is "partial internal transcribed spacer region". The stretch from base 1 to 46 matches the Rfam family "Eukaryotic small subunit ribosomal RNA", at positions 1786 to 1831 of the family's 1831-position model. The record is from RNAcentral. Lineage: Eukaryota; Fungi.
AAGUCGUAACAAGGUUUCCGUAGGUGAACCUGCGGAAGGAUCAUUAACACGUAUCCAACGUUAAAAACACCCCUGUGAACCCGUUAAACUUGCUCCUCAGGCCCUGCACGCCUAGCAAUCCCUGGUAAAUCAUUGUCUGACCAGUUUUUGAGUCAGGGACUUCUGACGUGACGCGAAGAAUGUCUGGAAAAAUGGCAUCUGCGUGAGGAGGUAAGAUGCACUUGUGCUCCCCAAGUACCCAUGUUUCUGAAAGCGGGACAUGGAAUACGUAAGGAGCGACGCUGUAACGUUUGCUGUAGGCCCACACGGCCGGCAUCAUGGUGCCUGGACUUCUGUCCCACAGAUCGGUGAAAUCCCGGUCAUGAUGUCAAUUUAGUGAGGACUAAAAGCCUCGCACCAAAAACCGAACAACUGUUAACAAUGGAUAUCUUGGUUCUC